GACGAACGCUGGCGGCGUGCCUAAUACAUGCAAGUCGAGCGCAGGAAAUCGACGGAACCCUUCGGGGGGAAGUCGACGGAAUGAGCGGCGGACGGGUGAGUAACACGUAAAGAACCUGCCCUCAGGUCUGGGAUAACCACGAGAAAUCGGGGCUAAUACCGGAUGGGUCAUCGGACCGCAUGGUCCGAGGAUGAAAGGCGCUUCGGCGUCGCCUGGGGAUGGCUUUGCGGUGCAUUAGCUAGUUGGUGGGGUAAUGGCCCACCAAGGCGACGGUGCGCAGCCGACCUGAGAGGGUGAUCGGCCACACUGGGACUGAGACACGGCCCAGAAUCCUACGGGAGGCAGCAGUAGGGAAUCUUCCACAAUGGACGAAAGCCUGAUGGAGCAACGCCGCGUGAACGAUGAAGGCCUUCGGGUCGUAAAGUUCUGUUGUAAGGGAAGAACAAGUGCCGCAGGCAAUGGCGGCACCUUGACGGUACCUUGCGAGAAAGCCACGGCUAACUACGUGCCAGCCGCCGCAGUAA
RNAcentral lists this ribosomal RNA (524 nucleotides) under uncultured bacterium. RNAcentral describes it as "partial 16S ribosomal RNA". It matches the Rfam family "Bacterial small subunit ribosomal RNA", at positions 28 to 523 of the family's 1533-position model. The record is from RNAcentral.